AUUUUUAGAAGUCUACCACUCUACUUAAAUACUACAAGCUAUACUCUUCAAAUUUAAAGGAUUUGGCGGUGCUUUAGUCCAGUUAGAGGAACCUGUUUUAUAAACGAUACACCACGCAAUAUCUCACCCGCUCUCACAACUUGUAUACCGUCAUUAUUAGAUUACUCCCAAAGGAAUAGUUAUUUCAAAAAACCACGGUUUCAUAUAUUAGAUCAAGGUGCAGUCCAUGAGCGGGUUUUAAUGGGUUACAAUAAAACUUAUUUAUAACGAAUUUAAGAUUUAAACAUCUCAAGGAAGGAGGAUUUAAUAGUAAAAUUAGUUUAGCAAGCUAAUUUGAUAAUGGAUCUAAACCAAGUACAUAUCGCCCGUCGCUUUCAUUUUCAAAUGAAAUAA
RNAcentral lists this ribosomal RNA (393 nucleotides) under Gourretia sp. ULLZ. Its description in RNAcentral is "partial small subunit ribosomal RNA". It matches the Rfam family "Microsporidia small subunit ribosomal RNA", at positions 752 to 1267 of the family's 1311-position model. The record is from RNAcentral. Lineage: Eukaryota; Metazoa; Arthropoda; Malacostraca; Decapoda; Ctenochelidae.